RNAcentral lists this ribosomal RNA (19 nucleotides) under Trichostrongylus colubriformis. RNAcentral's name for it is "partial 18S ribossomal RNA". Lineage: Eukaryota; Metazoa; Nematoda; Chromadorea; Rhabditida; Trichostrongylidae. The record is from RNAcentral.
CUCGAACCUGAUGAUCAUG